GACGAACGCUGGCGGCGUGCCUAAUACAUGCAAGUAGAACGCUGAAGAGAGGAGCUUGCUCUUCUUGGAUGAGUUGCGAACGGGUGAGUAACGCGUAGGUAACCUGCCUUGUAGCGGGGGAUAACUAUUGGAAACGAUAGCUAAUACCGCAUAACAAUGGAUGACACAUGUCAUUUAUUUGAAAGGGGCAAUUGCUCCACUACAAGAUGGACCUGCGUUGUAUUAGCUAGUAGGUGAGGUAACGGCUCACCUAGGCGACGAUACAUAGCCGACCUGAGAGGGUGAUCGGCCACACUGGGACUGAGACACGGCCCAGACUCCUACGGGAGGCAGCAGUAGGGAAUCUUCGGCAAUGGGGGCAACCCUGACCGAGCAACGCCGCGUGAGUGAAGAAGGUUUUCGGAUCGUAAAGCUCUGUUGUAAGUCAAGAACGAGUGUGAGAGUGGAAAGUUCACACUGUGACGGUAGCUUACCAGAAAGGGACGGCUAACUACGUGCCAGCAGCCGCGGUAAUACGUAGGUCCCGAGCGUUGUCCGGAUUUAUUGGGCGUAAAGCGAGCGCAGGCGGUUUGAUAAGUCUGAAGUUAAAGGCUGUGGCUCAACCAUAGUUCGCUUUGGAAACUGUCAAACUUGAGUGCAGAAGGGGAGAGUGGAAUUCCAUGUGUAGCGGUGAAAUGCGUAGAUAUAUGGAGGAACACCGGUGGCGAAAGCGGCUCUCUGGUCUGUAACUGACGCUGAGGCUCGAAAGCGUGGGGAGCGAACAGGAUUAGAUACCCUGGUAGUCCACGCCGUAAACGAUGAGUGCUAGGUGUUGGAUCCUUUCCGGGAUUCAGUGCCGCAGCUAACGCAUUAAGCACUCCGCCUGGGGAGUACGACCGCAAGGUUGAAACUCAAAGGAAUUGACGGGGGCCCGCACAAGCGGUGGAGCAUGUGGUUUAAUUCGAAGCAACGCGAAGAACCUUACCAGGUCUUGACAUCCCGAUGCUAUAUCUAGAGAUAGAAAGUUACUUCGGUACAUCGGUGACAGGUGGUGCAUGGUUGUCGUCAGCUCGUGUCUUGAGAUGUUGGGUUAAGUCCCGCAACGAGCGCAACCCCUAUUGUUAGUUGCCAUCAUUCAGUUGGGCACUCUAGCGAGACUGCCGGUAAUAAACCGGAGGAAGGUGGGGAUGACGUCAAAUCAUCAUGCCCCUUAUGACCUGGGCUACACACGUGCUACAAUGGUUGGUACAACGAGUUGCGAGUCGGUGACGGCAAGCUAAUCUCUUAAAGCCAAU
RNAcentral lists this ribosomal RNA (1274 nucleotides) under Streptococcus salivarius. RNAcentral describes it as "bacterial SSU rRNA". It matches the Rfam family "Bacterial small subunit ribosomal RNA", at positions 28 to 1286 of the family's 1533-position model. Lineage: Bacteria; Bacillati; Bacillota; Bacilli; Lactobacillales; Streptococcaceae. The record is from RNAcentral.